GGCCCGUGAUGUUUUGAUAUUGUAUUGUCCGUACCAUCCGAGAUAUUUUGGUAUCUUUGAUGAUUCAAUCACUAGCCUCUGAGGCCU
Small nucleolar RNA from Malus domestica (apple), 87 nucleotides. RefSeq annotates it as small nucleolar RNA snoR117. NCBI's taxonomy places the organism in Eukaryota, Viridiplantae, Streptophyta, Magnoliopsida, Rosales, Rosaceae. The record is from RefSeq and is a predicted model, not a curated record.